ACCUCUUGGCAUUACCAGUAUCAGGAGGCACUGCCUGCCCAGUGACAUAUGUUCAACGGCCGCGGUAUCCUGACCGUGCAAAGGUAGCAUAAUCAUUUGUUCCUUAAUUAGGGACUUGUAUGAAUGGCUUAACGAGGGUUUAACUGUCUCUUACUCUCAAUCAGUGAAAUUGACCUUUCCGUGAAGAGGCGGAAAUAACCUAAUAAGACGAGAAGACCCUAUGGAGCUUUUAAUUUAUUAAUCUUAGUUAACCUACUUCAAUCCCCUGGGAGAUAAAAACAUACUAACAGAUUAUAAAUUUUGGUUGGGGUGACCUCGGAGAAUAAAACAACCUCCGAAUGAUCUUAAUCUAGACUAAACCAGUCUAAAUCUUAAUUCAUCAAUUGACCCAAAACUAUUGAUCAACGGAACAAGUUACCCUAGGGAUAACAGCGCAAUCCUACUCAAGAGUCCAUAUCGACAGUAGGGUUUACGACCUCGAUGUUGGAUCAGGACAUCCAAAUGGUGUAACCGCUAUUAAUGGUUCGUUUGUUCAACGAUUAAAGUC
This 547-nucleotide ribosomal RNA is filed under the name Pteromys volans (Siberian flying squirrel). RNAcentral describes it as "partial 16S ribosomal RNA". It matches the Rfam family "Bacterial large subunit ribosomal RNA", at positions 1816 to 2595 of the family's 2925-position model. Lineage: Eukaryota; Metazoa; Chordata; Mammalia; Rodentia; Sciuridae. The record is from RNAcentral.